RNAcentral lists this long non-coding RNA (833 nucleotides) under Parus major (Great Tit). RNAcentral describes it as "lncRNA (ENSPMJG00000017201.1)". The record is from RNAcentral. Lineage: Eukaryota; Metazoa; Chordata; Aves; Passeriformes; Paridae.
CCCGUGCUGACAGUGAUUUGUGCGGGGGGGAGAGGCCAGCUCUGCUCUGAAACGCGAGCCCCGAAUAAAUAAAUCAUGGCCUUCCCUUGGCAGCUCGACAGCACGGGCUCUGGCCCGUCCUGGGUGUGCGGGGAGGGCCUCCCACUGUCCAGGAGCUUUUAAGGGCUGGGUCUGCCCGCGGCCGGCUGAGGAGCCGCUCUGCAGGGCAGGGGACCAUGGAGGGGAACACGCACCUCCUGCAGGUCAUCCGCAAGAUGCGCUCCCAAAUCAACAGGCUGGAGAGGGAGAACAGGGCCCUGAAAGGAGAGCUGCGGGGCUGCGGGCAGAGAGCUGUGCCGGCAGCGGGAGGUGGGAACGGCGGUGCCAUCGCCUUUGAUGGGGACGGAGCGGCUGCAGCCGCAGCAUCCCCGCAGGGCCCGGCGCCGCUGGAGCAGACAGAUACUGCCAUGACUGUGAGACGCUACCCCACUGUCUCCCCAGCUCCUGCUCCUUCCAGCACAAGGUCCCACGGGGCUGGCAGGAAGCCUCCAAGCAAUGGGCUCCCAGAGGUGCCAGGCAGUGCCCAGCCACCAGCCCCUCCUGCUCCAGCACAGCUCAGCAGGGAAGAGGAGAAAGGGCUUGAAAAAUCACCAGCCUGUUGUCUCUCCUACAGCCACUCCAGCAACAUGAAGAUGUUUCAGGAGCAUGUCUAUAAGUGCCAGGGUAAAGUGAAGGCUGUGAGUUUCCUCUUACCAAUGGAUAUGUCAUCAUUUGCUGAAAAGCAAGGUUCUCUCAAAAGCCCACAAAAUCAGAGCACAAAACAUCUAAUGACCAUCACUGAAAAGGAUAUGUGA